ACGCUCGACACCUACGGGAGCAGCAGUGGGGAAUAUUGCACAAUGGGGGAAACCCUGAUGCAGCGACGCCGCGUGAGUGAAGAAGUAAUUCGUUAUGUAAAGCUCUAUCAGCAGGGAAGAAAGUGACGGUACCUGAGUAAGAAGCCCCGGCUAACUACGUGUCAGCAGCCGCGGUAAUCUGAGCGGGCUGGCAAGGC
Molecule: ribosomal RNA, 197 nt
Filed under: uncultured bacterium
Lineage: Bacteria
Description: partial 16S ribosomal RNA
Rfam family: Bacterial small subunit ribosomal RNA
Source: RNAcentral